CCUACGGGAGGCAGCAGUGAGGAAUAUUGGUCAAUGGGCUUACGCCUGAACCAGCCAAGUCGCGUGAGGGAAGACUGCCCUAUGGGUUGUAAACCUCUUUUGUCAGGGAGCAAUUGGCGCUACGUGUAGCGUUAUCGAGAGUACCUGAAGAAAAAGCAUCGGCUAACUCCGUGCCAGCAGCCGCGGUAAUACGGAGGAUGCGAGCGUUAUCCGGAUUUAUUGGGGUUAAAGGGUGCGUAGGUGGAAUGCCAAGUCAGCGGGAAAAUCGCGGGGCUCAACCUCGCUCCGCCGUUGAAACUGGCGUUCUUGAGUGGGCGAGAGGUAUGCGGAAUGCGUGGUGUAGCGGUGAAAUGCAUAGAUAUCACGCAGAACUCCGGUUGCGAAGGCAGCAUACCGGCGCCCAACUGACGCUGAAGCACGAAAGCGUGGGUAUCGAACAGGAUUAGAUACCCGUGUAGUU
This 460-nucleotide ribosomal RNA is filed under the name uncultured bacterium. Its description in RNAcentral is "partial 16S ribosomal RNA". It matches the Rfam family "Bacterial small subunit ribosomal RNA", at positions 338 to 795 of the family's 1533-position model. The record is from RNAcentral.